RNAcentral lists this unclassified non-coding RNA (206 nucleotides) under Hevea brasiliensis (rubber tree). Lineage: Eukaryota; Viridiplantae; Streptophyta; Magnoliopsida; Malpighiales; Euphorbiaceae. The record is from RNAcentral.
GCCCAUAGUGUUCAUCAUUCAAGAUCUGUCCUUUUGAGGAGACUUCAUUCCUUACUAUUGUCUUCUUUUUUUUGAUGAUUUCUUAUGUGAGAUGUUGAAAACUGGAAAGAAGUGAUAAAGUUAGGAGGUUUGGUUUCUGGGGUUUGUUUAUUUUGCUCUACAAGGGUUAAAGAUUGGAUCUUUUUUAGUUUUGGUAGAUACCCAUG